AUAACUGAGUUCCUCUUUUUUCUUUUCUUCUAACCCAUAAUAUCAAGCUUCUGCAUUUUGGAGGAAACAGUGGGCAAGGCCUAUCAUUUUUCCAGUAUAGGAAUAUUCUUCAAUCAAUACAGAUCAGGAAGAGAAGAAACCCUGAGGGGCAUGUAGUGAUGAGCCUUAUUCCUUCAAAGGGUAAAAAUAAAAUCAAAUCUCUGGUUUUACUCACUCUCGAACCUCAACAUUUUAGUAUACCUUAAUAUGAAUAACAAGGACUUUCAUGAAGAUUUUGCAAAUAGGUAACACAGUCUAAGAGAUGUCUGUGGAAAGGAACUGGGCAAAACUGACUAUUAUGUUUAGGUGUUGGUGUGCAAGCUAGGCACUGAUUAUAAUUAUGUGAAUCUCCAUGCCUUCUUUACUAUUUUUAGGCUAUCUCUGAGUACCAACUCAACCACCUGGUGUUUACAUAUCCUCCUGCCCACUCCAAAUUGUAGUUCUUCAUAGGUAGGGAAACAUAUAGGUAUUUGUCCUCAAAGAAAUAAUAUGUGGUGUAUAAGCUUAAGAAAACCAGUAAUAAUGGAUAUAAAUUAAGUAUUAAAAUUAGGAAGAUUGUAGCUGAAGCAACAUUUAUGUAUAUGUAGGUGUUGGUUAUAUGACCCCAUGCAAGGUUCUUAAUCAUCAAUAAUCAGUUAUAAGCAUUUGUAGAAAGAGUUUCCUUAUAGUAGGACCACUUUCAUGCUUCAAAUCACACAAUUAGAGGAAAAAUAAAACACAAAAUUUGUCUUGGACA
Molecule: long non-coding RNA, 775 nt
Filed under: Monodelphis domestica (gray short-tailed opossum)
Lineage: Eukaryota; Metazoa; Chordata; Mammalia; Didelphimorphia; Didelphidae
Description: lncRNA (ENSMODG00000046167.1)
Source: RNAcentral